Molecule: small nucleolar RNA, 124 nt
Organism: Bison bison bison
Lineage: Eukaryota; Metazoa; Chordata; Mammalia; Artiodactyla; Bovidae
Source: Ensembl
UGGGUCCUGAAUCAAGGCUAGCAGUUUGCUGAAGCUGUUGGUUUCAAGCAGGAAUAUAGAGAAGUCUCUUUCUUUGGUCUGUUAGAACUUAGGAAAUGUAAUAGUCAAUUCAUUAGAAACAUCU